Molecule: ribosomal RNA, 444 nt
Filed under: uncultured bacterium
Lineage: Bacteria
Description: SSU rRNA
Rfam family: Bacterial small subunit ribosomal RNA
Source: RNAcentral
AGAGCGAACGCUGGCGGCAGGCUUAACACAUGCAAGUCGAGCGCCCCGCAAGGGGAGCGGCAGACGGGAGAGUAACACGUGGGAACGUACCCUUCGGUUCGGAACAACCCAGGGAAACUUGGGCUAAUACCGGAUACGUCCGUAAGGAGAAAGAUUUAUCGCCGAAAGAUCGGCCCGCGUCUGAUUAGCUAGUUGGUGAGGUAACGGCUCACCAAGGCGACGAUCAGUAGCUGGUCUGAGAGGAUGAUCAGCCUCACUGGGACUGAGACACGGCCCAGACUCCUACGGGAGGCAGCAGUGGGGAAUAUUGGACAAUGGGCGCAAGCCUGAUCCAGCCAUGCCGCGUGGGUGAUGAAGGCCCUAGGGUUGUAAAGCUCUUUCGGCGGGGACGAUGAUGACGGUACCCGCAGAAGAAGCCCCGGCUAACUUCGUGCCAGCAGCCGC